AGACUCUGGAGAACUCUUAAGUGAGUGCCGAAGGUGCAAGGCGGCAACGCACGAAGCCGCCGAAUCUCUCAGGCAAACGGACAGAGGAU
RNAcentral lists this non-coding RNA (89 nucleotides) under human gut metagenome. Its description in RNAcentral is "Glycine riboswitch". It matches the Rfam family "Glycine riboswitch aptamer", at positions 9 to 86 of the family's 94-position model. Rfam says of the family: This family represents the bacterial glycine riboswitch. Glycine riboswitches usually consist of two metabolite-binding aptamers domains with similar structures in tandem. The record is from RNAcentral.